AAUUUAAAUAGCUGCAGAAUUUUAACUGUACAAAGGUAGCAUAAUCAAUAGUUUUUUAAUUGAAAGCUGGAAUGAAGGAUUUGAUAAGGUAAAUAUUGUCUCAAAUUUAAUAAAAUUAGAAUUUUUUUUUUUGUUAAAAAGCAAAAAUAAAUUUAAAAGACGAGAAGACCCUAUAGAUUUUUAUUUUUUUUUUAAUAAAAAAAUUUAAAUAAAAUAAUAAUUUUUAUUAAAUAAAAAUUUGGUUGGGGAAAUUAUUAAAUUAAUUUAAUUUUAAUUUUAAUAUUAAACAAUAAUUAUUGGAAAUUUGAUCUUGAAUUUUUAAAUUAAUAGAAUAAAUUACCUUAGGGAUAACAGCGUAAUUUUUUUAGAGAGAUCUUAUUAAUAAAAAAGUUUGCGACCUCGAUGUUGAAUUAAGAUAAAUUUUAAUGAAGAAGUUAAAAA
RNAcentral lists this ribosomal RNA (441 nucleotides) under Polycyrtus neglectus. RNAcentral's name for it is "partial 16S large subunit ribosomal RNA". Lineage: Eukaryota; Metazoa; Arthropoda; Insecta; Hymenoptera; Ichneumonidae. The record is from RNAcentral.